This 661-nucleotide ribosomal RNA is filed under the name uncultured bacterium. RNAcentral's name for it is "bacterial SSU rRNA". It matches the Rfam family "Bacterial small subunit ribosomal RNA", at positions 216 to 877 of the family's 1533-position model. The record is from RNAcentral.
CGCUUUUGGAUGAGUUCGCGUCCCAUUAGCUAGUUGGCGGGGUAACGGCCCACCAAGGCGACGAUGGGUAGCCGGCCUGAGAGGGUGUCCGGCCACAUUGGGACUGAGAUACGGCCCAGACUCCUACGGGAGGCAGCAGUAGGGAAUUUUGCGCAAUGGGGGAAACCCUGACGCAGCAACGCCAUGUGUGGGAUGAAGCAUUUCGGUGCGUAAACCACUGUCGGCAGGGAAUAAAGCCCGUCUUCAUGGCGGGGGUGAAUGUACCUGCAAAGGAAGCCCCGGCUAACUUCGUGCCAGCAGCCGCGGUAAUACGAGGGGGGCAAGUGUUGUUCGGAAUUACUGGGCGUAAAGGGAGCGUAGGCGGGCUUUUAAGUUGGAUGUUUAAAACCGGGGCCCAACUCCGGCGCGGCAUCCAAAACUGGGAGUCUUGAAUGGGACAGAGGCCAGUGGAAUUGGAGGUGUAGCGGUGGAAUGCGUAGAGAUCUCCAAGAACACCCGUUGCGAAGGCGGCUGGCUGGGUCCACAUUGACGCUGAGCUCGAGAGCGUGGGGAGCAAACAGGAUUAGAUACCCUGGUAGUCCACGCCGUAAACGAUGAACACUAGUUUUGAGCUCGUCAACGGCUCAGAGCCGCAGCUAACGCGUUAAGUGUUCCGCCUGGG